Molecule: ribosomal RNA, 425 nt
Filed under: uncultured bacterium
Lineage: Bacteria
Description: bacterial SSU rRNA
Rfam family: Bacterial small subunit ribosomal RNA
Source: RNAcentral
GGACCCGCACAAGUAGUGGAGCAUGUGGUUUAAUUCGAUGAUACGCGAAGAACCUUACCUGGGCUCUAAUGCGAGUGACCGCUCCUGAAAGGGAGCUUUCCUUCGGGACACGAAGCAAGGUGCUGCAUGGUUGUCGUCAGCUCGUGCCGUGAGGUGUUGGGUUAAGUCCCGCAACGAGCGCAACCCCUAUCUUUAGUUGCCAGCGAUUCGGUCGGGGACUCUAGAGAGACUGCCUGCGCAAGCAGAGAGGAAGGCGGGGACGACGUCAAAUCAUCAUGGCCUUUAUGCCCAGGGCUACACACGUGCUACAAUGGUAAGGACAAAGGGCAGCGAGCCGGCGACGGUUAGCGAAUCCCAAAAACCUUAUCUCAGUUCGGAUUGGAGUCUGCAACUCGACUCCAUGAAGCUGGAAUCGCUAGUAAUCG